ACGGCUCAGUAACACGUGGAUAACCUGCCCUAGGGGAGGGGAUAACCCCGGGAAACUGGGGAUAAUACCCUAUAGGUUACAGAUGCUGGAAUGCCCUGUAACCAAAAGCUCCGGCGCCCUAGGAUGGAUCUGCGGCCGAUUAGGUUGUUGUUGGGGUAACGGCCCAACAAGCCCGUAAUCGGUACGGGUUGUGGGAGCAAGAGCCCGGAGUUGGAUUCUGAGACACGAAUCCAGGCCCUACGGGGCGCAGCAGGCGCGAAACCUUUACAAUGCGGGCAACCGUGAUAAGGGAACCUCGAGUGCCUGUAAACGCAGGCUGUUCAGGUGUUUAAAACGCACCUGGAGAAAGGGCCGGGCAAGACCGGCGCCAGCCGCCGCGGUAAUACCGGCGGCUCGAGUGGUGGCCGCUUUUAUUGGGCUUAAAGCGUUCGUAGCUGGGUUGUUAAGUCUCUUGGGAAAUCUGGCGGCUUAACCGUCAGGCGUCUAAGGGAUACUGGCAAUCUUGGAACCGGGAGAGGUGAGGGGUACUUCGGGGGUAGGGGUGAAAUCCUGUAAUCCUCGAGGGACCACCUGUGGCGAAGGCGCCUCACCAGAACGGCUUCGACAGUGAGGGACGAAAGCUGGGGGAGCAAACCGGAUUAGAUACCCGGGUAGUCCCAGCCGUAAACGAUGCGCGUUAGGUGUAUCGGUGACCACGAGUUACCGAGGUGCCGAAGGGAAACCGUGAAACGCGCCGCCUGGGAAGUACGGUCGCAAGGCUGAAACUUAAAGGAAUUGGCGGGGGAG
Molecule: ribosomal RNA, 786 nt
Filed under: uncultured archaeon
Lineage: Archaea
Description: bacterial SSU rRNA
Rfam family: Archaeal small subunit ribosomal RNA
Source: RNAcentral